CCGUAAAUGUUGAAAAUUAGCGGAUGACUUGUGGCUGGGGGUGAAAGGCCAAUCAAACCGGGAGAUAGCUGGUUCUCCCCGAAAUCUAUUUAGGUAGAGCCUUGAGCGGACACCUUCGGGGGUAGAGCACUGUUUCGGCUAGGGGUCCAUCCCGGAUUACCAACCCGAUGCAAACUACGAAUACCGAAGAGUGAUACUCAGGAGACACACGGCGGGUGCUAACGUCCGUCGUGAAAAGGGAAACAACCCAGACCGUCAGCUAAGGUCCCAAAAUCCUGGUUAAGUGGGAAACGAUGUGGGAAGGCUCAGACAGCUAGGAGGUUGGCUUAGAAGCAGCCACCCUUUAAAGAAAGCGUAAUAGCUCACUAGUCGAGUCGGCCUGCGCGGAAGAUGUAACGGGGCUCAAACCAGGUACCGAAGCUACGGGUUCAUCGUAAGAUGAGCGGUAGAGGAGCGUUGUGUAAGCCUGUGAAGGUGAGUUGAGAAGCUUGCUGGAGGUAUCACAAGUGCGAAUGCUGACAUGAGUAACGACAAUGCGAGUGAAAAACUCGCACGCCG
RNAcentral lists this ribosomal RNA (558 nucleotides) under uncultured Actinobacillus sp. RNAcentral's name for it is "bacterial LSU rRNA". It matches the Rfam family "Bacterial large subunit ribosomal RNA", at positions 776 to 1339 of the family's 2925-position model. Lineage: Bacteria; Pseudomonadati; Pseudomonadota; Gammaproteobacteria; Pasteurellales; Pasteurellaceae. The record is from RNAcentral.